GCACAGUAGCUGCAGCUUAUCCUAAUGCGCUCCAGAGUUGAGCCACAUCACGCAGCGCCGCCGUUGCGGAUUUGCCCAGCUCCAGGCUGCGGCCGGCCGGCUCCAACGAGUAGCUCCCAUACGGCAGCGCGCGCAGCGCCCAUAGCUCCCACGCGGCGGCGACCGGCGGCGCCAGGUGGCCAUAGCUUCCACAGGCCUGCGUCCAGCGGCGCCCAUGUUGGCUCUCUUCGGUUAUACCGACGACAGAACCGAAUCGUCGGUGGACCGAACUCUCGGUUAUUGGUUUCUCAGAAUAUCGAUCGGUCAGUAAAAUCUGUAAACCGAAUUCCAAAAUUAACCGAGGUACCGAACCGAUCGGUUCGCUGUAACCGAAUGCCCAGUCCUGUCCUCGCCCGAUCCCCAACCUACGGAUCUCCCCAGUCCCAGCGACGCCGAGCUCCCCCUGACCCUGCCUCCACCCGACGUCGCCGCCCCCGCCCCCUCCCACUCCCGCCCCGCUGGCAAGCCGGGCGCCGCCAUGCCCGACCUUCCCUUUGACCGAUAUCCUCCUUCCUCACCGUCGACAUCGUGGGAGCACCCAUCCCGCUGCCCAGACCCUAGCCGGUGACGCCGCCACCGCCACGCAGCCGCAGCCACGCCCCUGUCGGCGGCGCCGCCGCAGCCCCACCCCCGCCGGCGACGCAACCGCAGCCCCGACCCCAGCCGAUGACGCGCAACACCACCUGCCAGAGCACCUCGUGGAAGCCCGAUCCGGCGAGGAUCCUUCACCACCCUCCACUCUCCGGCGACCACCAGCCCGCGUGCGGAUGGUGUGCUAUCCUGCAGAUCGAGGAGGCGUCGAACUUCAGAUGGAGGAGGCCACAACCUGCAGCUGGCCGCGCCAUGGUUGCGCGUCGCCGGCAUGCUCCGUCACGCUCGGCACCUCCUGAGCGUUGGAGUGAAGGUCGACUCGGCAUUUUCUUCAGGGCAGUGGAGAGCACCCUCACCCUGAUCCCAUCUGCAGCAGCGCCCCGAGUCCUCCCAAAGCAGCCUUGAGCCGUUCAAGUAUGCAGCCCCGGGUCGUUCAACAACGGAGCUGCCGACCGUUCAUGAACACAACACCCCGGAUCCUGCUGCCCACCAUCCUGUAAAGGGAGACUUAUUGUGAAGACUUCAAACUGAGUACAGAAGACUCGAUUAAUUUUUGCUCCCUUCUUGAAAGGAAGAGGGGAGUUGGUUCUCUUUUGAGGUUGCGACUCGAUUAAUCGAUUAAUUACAGCUUAUUUUCGACCUUCCUGUGCUAGUAGAUCUUUUCCCAAUUCUGAUCUUCUUUCGGUUGCUGUUUGGAUUUAUUCCCUUCGCUCUUCUUCGACCGCGCUCAUAAAUACGGCCUUGUAAUCUUGUGGAAAGGAGCAGUGCAGUGCAUGUGAAUACAUAUGGCCUGAAGUUGCUAUAAUUGUCCAAAAUCCGGUGUUUGCUGCUGCAAUCCGAGUGAAGUAUAUUUGGAAACAUGCCUGCCUCGAGUCUUCUACUCUGGUAUGCUCGCAUCACACGGUAUGACAAUAUACUACACAAAAUAGCAUGGGAGUGAUUCCUGCAAAAGCUCAAAUUCUGCUGACAAGUUGUGUGCUGCGUUUGGCACUUUUCAGUCCUGAACCAGCAGUCCUCGAGGCAGGAUGUACUACUACCUGGACUCAUCUGCCCCGGAGGCACAACACGAACCAAGCCCCAUGUUUCUCAGUGACUGACUCAGUAGUCCUUGAUGGUUGAACAUCCGGCAGCUAGCCCGUACUGCACCACCAUAUCUUGCCAUCUUAUGAUCCCAGCAAAAUGUUGAAGUAAAACACACACCACCAGGAGGAGAGUAUAUGUCAAGGAAGGACUGGUGAAAUAGCAGGGCAGAGAUGCCACAGUAAUGCUGAGCCGGAGUGGUAGCGUGUGUGCGAGAAGACUCGUUUGUUUGGGUUGGGGAGCCAGCCGAGCCAACGCACACUUGGUGGACAGUCUAUCUGGUUCGUACGCCCGGCCAUGAUAUUGUGUCCGAAAAGAAGACUCAAAUGGGCACGUUCAACUACUGUGUCCCCAGCCAUGAAAACUUGUGGCCCGUCAUGGUCUCCUUACACCUAAACGGCUACCUUUUUUCUAUUAGUGAAAUUUCCUCUGUUUUGGAUUUAUGAAGAUGGAACAGAUCACUGUUUAGAGUUUUGUUGGUA
Molecule: long non-coding RNA, 2192 nt
Organism: Triticum aestivum (bread wheat)
Lineage: Eukaryota; Viridiplantae; Streptophyta; Magnoliopsida; Poales; Poaceae
Exons: 2
Source: RefSeq, a predicted model, not a curated record